AUAUAUAUAUAUAUAUAUAUUAAUUAAUUAUUAUUAUUAUUUUUAUAUAUAUAGGAAGAUGGGACGGACUAUAUAGAUGUGUAGGUCUAUGCGUAUGCGUAAUAAUGUGCAUCUCAGUUUAUCUUUGAAUUUCGUUUGUUAUUGAAAAUAUACCCAAACAAAUUAUAUAAAUAAAUAAAUAAAAAUAAUUUGAAAAACCCACAAUAAAAAAAAAAAAACCCAAAAGAAAACCAAAAAAUAAAUAAAUAAAAAUACAGUGUAUAUGAAUGGCACAUCGAUUGUUUUCGGAAACACAACUAUUACGUCAACAAUACGAUGACGUCAACUUUCAAUAUGAUCAUGGGCGCCAAAUUGAGAAAUAUGUGAACGUUAUCGAUCUUUGUCGUCUAUGAGCAUAUUUAACUUGUACAGUGAAACAUAUUAAAUUGCUUGGUAAUAUUUAUAAUUAAUAACAUGUAAGCUGUUAUUUCAAGAAUGUUCUACAGUAUGGAUAUCACCCAGACAGAAUUAUUGAGAGGGGGAGCUAGGGCCCCCAGCCACCUGCUCCGACGUGUCUGAUAUGCCAAUCAAAAGACAGAAUUUCACAGAGAAGCCAACACGAAGCCUUACACAACCAAUCCACGCUAGAUGAGAAAUCUGUCAUACUUGACACACCACACGAUUAUAUAUAUACACCUCUGUGUGACCCCGUCACAGACCAGCCAACACUUUUCUCAGAUUUUUUGUUUAGCUAUUAAGCUUCCCAUGACACAAACAAAAAUGGCUGACAUGGUGUUUCAUGUUGUGUGGUGUUGACAAUACAUUUUCAAAAUUUUGUUUUUAAAACAAAAAAAGUUGUUUGCUUUAUCCACGUGGUGAUCUCUCUUCCACAUCUUCCUUGGCAACUGUUCCAAUAAAGCUGUUUCCGGUUUCUUUUUUUGUUUUCAUUUUCGUCAAUGACGUCACUUUUCAAUUACGUCAUUGUAAACAUUUGGUAAAUCCAUACCACUUCUUGAUCGAAUUUAAAAAACGUUUAUUUCUUCUUCUUUUUAUUCGUUUGGACCAUACGAUAAAUGUCCUUGGUGUUUUAAAAAAUAAAAAUCUGGAUUAAAAAAAAAAUCGAACGAAGAUCAGAUGAACCUGUCUCGGAUGUAUAUUUACGCAUCUCGGCCGAUUCGUAAAACACACGGUUGGUUAAGGGUAAAAAUUGCGACUUGUGAUAUUUCCAGACGGAGGCUACAAGUGAAACCGAGGUUGAGGUACGACAUUUUGUUUUUUGUUGUUGCG
Gigantopelta aegis is the source of this 1266-nucleotide long non-coding RNA. RefSeq lists it as uncharacterized. The transcript is spliced from 3 exons. NCBI's taxonomy places the organism in Eukaryota, Metazoa, Mollusca, Gastropoda, Neomphalida, Peltospiridae. The record is from RefSeq and is a predicted model, not a curated record.